GAUGAACGCUGGCGGCGUGCCUAACACAUGCAAGUCGAGCGAACGGACGAGAAUUUCGCUUUUCUGUUGUUAGCGGCGGACGGGUGAGUAACACGUAGCUCACCUACCUAUAAGCCUGGGAUAACUUCGAGAAACCGGAGCCAAGACCGGAUGAUAUUUUGAACCGCAUGGUUCUAGAGUGAUUGACGGUCUUUCUGUCACUUAUAGGUGGUUCCGCGCUGCAUUAGCUAGUUGGUAAGGUAACGGCUUACCAAGGCAACGAUGCAGAGGCGACCUGAGAGGGUGAUAGGCGACACUGGAACUGAGACACGGACCAGACUCCUACGGGAGGCAGCAGUAGGGGAUCGUCCGCAAUGGGCGAAAGCCUGACGGAGCAGCGGCGAGUGAGUGAUGAAGGUGUUCGGAUCGUAAAACUCUGUUACUAGGGAAGAACAUAUGUGUAAGUAACUGUGCAGAUCUUGACGGUACCUAAUCAGAAAGCAACGGCUAACUACGUG
Molecule: ribosomal RNA, 497 nt
Filed under: uncultured bacterium
Lineage: Bacteria
Description: partial 16S ribosomal RNA
Rfam family: Bacterial small subunit ribosomal RNA
Source: RNAcentral